UACGUAGGGGGCAAGCGUUGUCCGGAAUCAUUGGGCGUAAAGAGCGUGUAGGCGGCCCGAUAAGUCCGCUGUGAAAGUCCAGGGCUCAACCCUGGGAUGCCGGUGGAUACUGUCGGGCUCGAGUCCGGAAGAGGAGUGUGAAAUUCCUGGUGUAGCGGUGAAGUGCGCAGAUAUCAGGAGGAACACCAAUGGCGAAGGCAGCACUCUGGGACGUGACUGACGCUGAGACGCGAAAGCGUGGGGAGCAAACAGG
RNAcentral lists this ribosomal RNA (253 nucleotides) under uncultured bacterium. Its description in RNAcentral is "partial 16S ribosomal RNA". It matches the Rfam family "Bacterial small subunit ribosomal RNA", at positions 524 to 776 of the family's 1533-position model. The record is from RNAcentral.